RNAcentral lists this long non-coding RNA (1828 nucleotides) under Helianthus annuus (common sunflower). Its description in RNAcentral is "hypothetical non coding rna". Lineage: Eukaryota; Viridiplantae; Streptophyta; Magnoliopsida; Asterales; Asteraceae. The record is from RNAcentral.
ACGUCGCCACAGGGGAUCUGCCAUAGACCAGAGAAACUGAAGAGAGGGGAGAUAAAAACGGAGUAGGCUCUCCGGCAUCGACAGAGGGGAUCCGGCGUGCAUGGCCGCGGACAUCUGGCCUCCUACCAUCUUCUUACUCUUUCAAACACCAGACCUGUAAACAAAGGAUCUUUAAUGGUGGUGAAAGUCUCCAACAAUGCCCAGGGGGUUUCGAUGACGAUGAACAGCGACAACGAGGAUUCCGAUCUAGGGUUCCGGCAACCAUUCAAGACGGUACGAUGAGGGCCAGGAGACACUAAUCAGCAACCGGUAGGUCAAGUGUUGACGUCACAUUCUGCGGUUUACGUCGGUGUUUACGACGGUCACGGUGGGCCUGGAGCGUCGAGAUUCAUCACGAAUCAUCUCUUUGAUCGAUGUUUUCUGAUUGGAAGACCGCCAGUCUACUGUUCCACCAGACUCAUCACCAGGCUCAUCACUGACGACGAAUAACAAUCAUUUUUAUCAGUCGUCAGCACAGGUUAGUUAUCGCGCUACUCUACUUCGUAACUCAUCUGCAAAUAGAUCAUUAUACUUAGAUAUUGGUGACUGUGAUAGAAUCUGUGAGUUUUGCGACGCUAAAUUUUGGUAUGAUGAGCGCUUAGUUUCAGCCUCGGUCAGCCAACGUUCUAUGUAUACACAAUGUUGCAAAGAAGGUCGUGUGACACUUCCCUAUCCUGAACGACCUCAUCAGGUAAUAUUACAGUUAGCAAAGAAUACUUAACUCUCAAUCAUAUUUUUCCCUUAUCCACCACAAGUUGAGCCCCCGAGGCAACCCAAUACCCGGGCGUCUGUUGUGGGCCCCGUGUCAUCUCCGUUGUGUCAACAAAUUUCAGUAGCUUCGGUGCUUGAACGGGAGCUGGUGGGCCCCCGGGGUAUACAGCCGAGUUUAUAUUGGAACAAAUCUACAUUUGUAUCCAAACAUCAUGGUGUAGUCUUAAUGCUUAAAUGGAUGAAGAUGAGGUGGCCGGGAUCAAGGCUGCCCACUUCGAGGAUCCAUGAAGUAAACAAACAGACAAGUAGCUGUAAAGUUAAUGAGGCGGCUCAUGAAUCAUGUUGCUGAAGUCGUAUCUGCAGAUAAGGAUGUCUUAAAAGAGCUGAACCAAUUAUGUGAACAUCUGAUAUAUCGCCUGAUGAAUUGUUGCAGCCAGAACAAGCUAAUCUUUUAUUAGAGAAGUCGGAUGUACAAAUAGACGCUGAUGAUGAUGAGUCUCCAACAUCAAAAAAUACCAGGCGUUUGCAAAGAAAUUGCAGCAGUCCAGAUGAUUUGGGGCCGAGUUUCGCGUCCUUGAAGCAACAUCCGGGAUAGAAGCAGGUGCAGGGUGCUGAUUCUUCUGCUGGCAGAGAUGAUAAUGAUGAUUUAUACAACAUAGAUCACGUUACAAGUCAACACUCAUACGGGAUCAGCGAUGCCAUUGCUGUUACAAAUCAAAUGAACACCGGAUAGUCUUUUCGGCUUCUACGAUAUGUGAAUGUGUACCCGGCCGCAACGCGGCGGGUGUUACACCUAGUUACAACUAAAGAGCUACGGUUCCGAGCUCAAACCUAAAUCGAUCACCAUUCGCUGGAUCACUUAGGAAAAAGACUUGCAGAUACCCCAAAACUUAAGAUUCUGUUCCCGAGUCUCAUUUAACAGGGGGAGGGGAAUCAUGUUCCCGAGUUUCAUUUAACAGGGGGAGGGGAGGGAAAAGAAGGGAAAAGGGAAGAAAAUAUGACCAUAUAUUCAUCCUCCCAAAUUUGAGAGAUUAGGAGAGAAAAUUUUCCCUCCCCUCCCCCUGUUAAAUGAGACUCG